UACAGAGGGUGCAAGCGUUAAUCGGAGUUACUGGGCGUAAAGGGCGCGUAGGCGGUUUGUUAAGUAAGAUGUGAAAUCCCUGGGCUUAACCUAGGAACAGCAUUUUAAACUAGUAGACUAGAGAACAGUAGAGGGUGGCGGAAUUUCCGGUGUAGCGGUGAAAUGCGUAGAGAUCGGAAGGAACAUCAGUGGCGAAGGCGGCCACCUGGACUGUGACUGACGCUGAGGCGCGAGAGCGUGGGGAGCAAACAGG
RNAcentral lists this ribosomal RNA (253 nucleotides) under uncultured Gammaproteobacteria bacterium. Its description in RNAcentral is "partial 16S ribosomal RNA". It matches the Rfam family "Bacterial small subunit ribosomal RNA", at positions 524 to 776 of the family's 1533-position model. The record is from RNAcentral. Lineage: Bacteria; Pseudomonadati; Pseudomonadota; Gammaproteobacteria.